AUGAGAUCGUGACCUGAGCCAAAGUUGGCUGCUUAGCCAACUGAGCCACCCAGGAGCCCCAGAAAAGCCAAUUCUUGAACAGUAUAAGGAUUUAUCCCAGGAAUGAAAAGAUGGUUCAUUAGGAGAUCAAUUAAGUCUAUCACCUUGCAUGCCAGGAGCUGAUGGUGUACUUAACGGGGAAGCCUCCCAUCUCAGACCCCAGGAGUCCGUCUCAGUGGAGGGAAAUGUGUGUUGAAAAUUCCCGCAGAGUCCCUAACACAUCAGAACCAGGACACGGAACGCAAGGUACUAGAAGCAGCGGGUGGGGGUGGGAGAGGGGUCAUGCUGAUCCACCUAGAAAGCCCAAGAAAAUCCCCUGAGAAAAACUAGCACUUAGUGUUCACCAGAGCUUGGAACAUAACGAUUUUAAAGCCCUGGGUCGGUAGUUUAGAAUUUGAAAACCCCCGUUAAUAAUCUAAAAGAAUGAAAAUAGGAAAAGGUCUUAAAGAGUAAUAGUGAUAGUUACUCCUACCAAAUAACAUGUUCAGGUAGAUUUCAGAAUCUAUGUAAAAACUGAAACCAUGAGGUAGAAGUAAAAAAACCUGGUUAUCUGCUAUUGUAUGAAAAAUUCCUAAGAGGACUUUCUAAACAUUAAAAGUAACAGAAAAAGUGGACUGUGUAAAAUUUUCAGAUUUCUUAAAGUCAGAGAACACAAAAGCAAUCAAUGGGACAUGUGAUUGUCAAGUAAAUCUCCUGAUAUGGAAUUGGAUUAAGGAGUAGGUGAGCCCUUGCACAGGUGGGAAGUGCAGGGGGUUCGCAAAAGCACGAGCGCAUGUGGUCCGUCCAUCUGGCCCCCACGGGCUUGGGAAGGAGACGAAAAGCACCUUCACGUUGCUCGUGGCGAGCCCGUUCCACCACCUCCCGAAGGGCACCCGGGCAGGACCUGAAAAGUGUUCCCACUUUUUGGGCUUCAUCCUAAGCUGGUACGGAGACUUGGUCACGGAUGUUGUUUUGUGACGGCACAUUACUCAUAGUGAAAAAGCACUAGAGCCCUUGGGGGAGAA
Molecule: long non-coding RNA, 1043 nt
Organism: Lynx canadensis (Canada lynx)
Lineage: Eukaryota; Metazoa; Chordata; Mammalia; Carnivora; Felidae
Exons: 3
Source: RefSeq, a predicted model, not a curated record